This is an RNA transcript of Mirounga angustirostris (Northern elephant seal), 1847 nucleotides long. It is a transcript of the gene named glutaredoxin and cysteine rich domain containing 1, with no coding region annotated. NCBI's taxonomy places the organism in Eukaryota, Metazoa, Chordata, Mammalia, Carnivora, Phocidae. The transcript is spliced from 5 exons. The record is from RefSeq and is a predicted model, not a curated record.
CCCCCCCUUCAUUCUUCCCUUCCUGCUAUCUUCUUCUUUUUUUUUUUUUUUAACAUAUAAUGUAUUAUUCGUUUCAGAGGUACAGGUCUGUGAACUAGUGGUCUUUCUCUAACACAGAAGAAGGAGAGAAAUGAAUGAUGUGUAAGUGGUUGUACCACGGACUGUGUCAGCCUCAGAGGGUUCCAGGGGUUUCCCUUUAUGAGGUUCUUUAACAAUGAUCUUUACACAUGACCCAUAGAGUGCCAGAAACUUGGUUCAAGAAGGGAGUCAUUUGUCUCCUAGGGGUCAUGGAUCCUAUUUCCUACAAUCUCAGGAAAAUAACUGAAAUUUCUGGGAAGCACAUAGCUUGUAGUCAUGCACAAAUUUUGUAUGUUGGGCCAAUUGAAUCAAUACUCAGUAGUAUUGGGCUUCUAGAGUCAUGGAACUUCAUUCACAAUUAAAACUCAGUAGCAGGAGCCUGAAGUCUGAAAAUUUGCCUCUUGUGCUUUUAACUAUAGUUCUAGGACAGCAUAAAGUUAUGCACAUUUGUCAGGUAAAUGAAAGUAUUAGGAAAUCUCUUAAAGGGUAAUACAAAUAAACCAACCAUCCUUUCCUGAGGUGACCACCUCUCUUUUUAAUCAUACGAAAAACUAAAUCAUGGAACCUUGAGACACAACAUCAUAGAGUCUCUUAAUUAGUCACAGCUGUCAGGGCUCCUCCUCUAAUUGUGGGAUUUUUCUUUUCAUGUAGAUUUUUUUUUUCUUUUAUUAUUCCUCUUAGUUUGUGCCUACUUCAGCAUCCUCCAUGGCCAGUGCUUUCUGCCUCAGUUAUUAAGUUGGCUUUCUCAAGAAGUGUUUUUCGUAUUUCUGAGAUUUCUGGAGAUGAAUCUGUACCCCUGAAGUGGAGACUUGGUGGUGAGAGCUUAUCAGGAUUGAAGCAGACCCAAAGCCUGUGCUGGAACUUAGGUAGCUGCCCACUCAGUGUGCACCACAGUCCCUUCCUCUCUCUUUUCCUUCCCUUGUUUCUGUUGGAGGUGUAAUGGUGAGGCAGAACCCACCACUCCUGGAAACAUCAUUUGACUUGAUUUUUCCAUACCAGAUUAAAGGUGACUAAUAAUUUGCCUCCUAUUUCUCAGGGUGGACAGGAAGAUCCUAUAUUAGUCAUCAUUGGGGCUUCUUUCCCUACCCAUUGUGAUCUGCAGGAUAUGCAGGGUUGUGAGAGGCCAGAAAACCUAGAGAUGGUGUUGGUCAUGGAUUCUGGUGCAUCUCUCUUCAUCUCUGCUCCUUCAGCCCCGUGAUGCUUUACUGAGGCUGUAGGAGCUCAUGCGGCCCCUCACAGACAUGUCUUGAAAGAAGUUGCUGUGGCUGCUGUUGAAGAGGUUACUGCCUAUGUUCUCCUCUAGGAUUUUAAUGGAUUCCUGUCUCACAUUGAGGAGCAGACAAUAAUACAGAGAUGGAAAACUUGAAGAUCUGAACAUUGCCAUCAAGCAACCAUCAACUGACCUAGAAUUUGACCGUGUAGUGAUUUAUACCACUUGCCUUCGUGUGGUACGGACAACCUUUGAAAGAUGUGAACUGGUUAGAAAGAUCUUCCAAAACCAUCGAGUAAAAUUUGAAGAGAAAAACAUAGCUCUGAAUGGUGACUAUGGAAAAGAGUUAGAUGAGCGAUGCCGACGUGUUUCAGAAGCCCCUUCCCUCCCUGUCGUGUUCAUCGAUGGCCAUUAUCUUGGGAGAGUGCAGCAUCCACAUGAGUGUCCCUCCUGUGGAGGCUUUGGCUUUCUUCCGUGCUCCGUCUGCCACGGGAGCAAGAUGUCAGUGUUUCGAAACUGCUUUACAGACUCUUUCAAAGCUUUGAAGUGUACGGCCUGC